This 762-nucleotide ribosomal RNA is filed under the name uncultured bacterium. RNAcentral describes it as "bacterial SSU rRNA". It matches the Rfam family "Bacterial small subunit ribosomal RNA", at positions 613 to 1376 of the family's 1533-position model. The record is from RNAcentral.
CCUGGGAACUGCGUUNUGAACUGGGUAGCUAGAGUAUGUCAGAGGGGGGUAGAAUNCCACGUGUAGCAGUGAAAUGCGUAGAGAUGUGGAGGAAUACCGAUGGCGAAGGCAGCCCCCCGGGAUAAUACUGACGUUCAUGCCCGAAAGCGUGGGUAGCAAACAGGAUUAGAUACCCUGGUAGUCCACGCCNUAAACGAUGUCGAUUAGCUGUUGGGCAACUUGAUUGCUUAGUAGCGAAGCUAACGCGUGAAAUCGACCGCCUGGGGAGUACGGUCGCAAGAUUAAAACUCAAAGGAAUUGACGGGGACCCGCACAAGCGGUGGAUGAUGUGGAUUAAUUCGAUGCAACGCGAAGAGCCUUACCUGGUCUUGACAUGUACGGAACCUUCCAGAGACGGAAGGGUGCCUUCGGGAGCCGUAACACAGGUGCUGCAUGGCUGUCGUCAGCUCGUGUCGUGAGAUGUUGGGUUAAGUCCCGCAACGAGCGCAACCCUUGUCAUUAGUUGCCAUCAUUAAGUUGGGCACUCUAAUGAGACUGCCGGUGACAAACCGGAGGAAGGUGGGGAUGACGUCAAGUCCUCAUGGCCCUUAUGACCAGGGCUUCACACGUCAUACAAUGGUCGGUACAGAGGGUAGCCAAGCCGCGAGGUGGAGCCAAUCCCAGAAAACCGAUCGUAGUCCGGAUUGCACUCUGCAACUCGAGUGCAUGAAGUCGGAAUCGCUAGUAAUCGCAGGUCAGCAUACUGCGGUGAAUACGUUCCCG